UACGUAGGGGGCAAGCGUUAUCCGGAUUUACUGGGUGUAAAGGGAGCGUAGACGGCUGUGCAAGCCAGAUGUGAAAGCCCGGGGCUCAACCCCGGGACUGCAUUUGGAACCGCGUGGCUUGAGUGUCGGAGAGGCAGGCGGAAUUCCUAGCGUAGCGGUGAAAUGCGUAGAUAUUAGGAGGAACACCAGUGGCGAAGGCGGCCUGCUGGACGAUGACUGACGUUGAGGCUCGAAAGCGUGGGGAGCAAACAGG
Molecule: ribosomal RNA, 253 nt
Filed under: uncultured bacterium
Lineage: Bacteria
Description: partial 16S ribosomal RNA
Rfam family: Bacterial small subunit ribosomal RNA
Source: RNAcentral